CAAGGCAUGUUUUUGUUUGAUGCGAGUGAUAAGAAUGCUAGGCGUAGACGUAAACAGCCACCCAUGACGAUGCUGGGCUACAAAUACCCAGCAGUCAACACGCACGCAGUCAGUGGCUGACAUAGACAAGAUGCAUUACUCAAAAUGCGUGCUACCGUUGCUGGGUGUCUACCUUUUGAUGAUUUUGCUGGAAGAGAUGGAGGCUGUGGCUGUUGAACACACCACCGUGGCAUCCCUAAAGGUAGACGUGGACUCCUACCCAGCUUCAUUUCCCGACCCCAUGGAGCGCCAACGCCAAAACAAUCGCUACCAACAUAAGACCAGCGAAAAGAGGAGGAAGCUAGCUCCUUUGGAUUCCAUCGGCAGUUCCCUUAUGUCCACUUUCAGAAAACGAAAGGAUUAAGAUGACAAGAUGACAUCAUUGUCACAUUAGGCGGCCCGCGGGCCACAUUGGUCCUCCCAAAGCUUUUCGUUUGGCCCGCCGAACAUCACAGCAUAGCGUAAACCACCGUCCUGCAGUACUUCCUUAGCGCUGCAUGGGGCAACAGCGAAGUGCACACAUCACAAUGAAGCAGCAGUAGACGACGGCGGGCAUUUAAAUACACAGCGCCAUCAACUCUUUAAAAAAAUAAAUAAAUAAAAAGAAGACACUGAAAAUUGGACAAGCGCCUGGACUACAAUUUUUUUUAUUUGGACCUCUGAAAGACUGUGGACCUUGCUGCAGUACAGCUAACAGGAGUCUGUUAACACGGGGAAAGGCUAAAAAUAUAUAUACAGUAUGCAUAUAAGAGCAAAUUUUUUUUUUUUCAAUGAUUAUAUAUUUUUAAGGCUGUGAAAACCCCUCAGCAUACACUUUAUACACUUUUCUCAGACAGGCAUUAACAUUUGAUCACAUUUCCCUCUUGUUUAAACACUCUCAAAGAAGUUCAAUAAUCAUCCUACAGGUAGGACACAAGAAAUUAUUAUGCCACUCACACGUAUUGUUUCCUCCAGUGACCGUAUCUUUUCGUCCUGGCGCCAUUCCGCUGUACUGUAGCAUCUUUGUAUCCUUAUUAAAAGGACUGCACUCCUUCGAACCGAAGAUUAAUUUACAAGCUAGCAAGCAAGAAACCUAGCAAUGACACAGGAGACAGGCAGGGCUGCACGAAGGAGAUUGAUUGACAAUGGUCGACAGCCAAUCGGGAUUCACAAUAAAAGAACAAUGAGCGGUGCAGAGGGACGAAUGAAGGAAGAGAGACACUCAAUCUCCCAAGAUGCAAUUCUUCUUAAAGGGCCAAGCUCUGCCUGUAACAGUGUUCAUAUGAUAAAAAAGAAGCACUAAAAGAUUAAUAUGCUGUAUAUAUAUACAUACAUACACAUGUAUAUGCACUCAACAAAAAUAUACACAUCUGGACUCAAAGAGCUACAUUUUUUCUAUAUAAACAAAAGACAUCUGUUAGUGAGCACUCAUAAUUCAUAAUCUAUCCACCUCACAGGUGUGGGUGUGGCAUAUUAAGAUGAUUAGACAGCAUUCACACACUUGCACAAGUGUGCCUUCGGUUGGCCACAAUAAAAGGUCAGAAAUUUUAAUGACUACAGAGUUGGAAUUUAGGGAAGUAAAAUCUGUAUAUACUACAGAUCAGAAGUGCUCACACUUUUUCAGCCUGCGAGCGCCUUUUAAAAGGACCAAGUCCCAAAGAUCUACUUCCUACCAUGAACAGUAGUAUAUUUACUAUAUUUAUAAAUAUGAGUAUUUAUGUAUAUCAGGGGUGCAAAUACAUACAUAUAUACUUGUAUAAUCUAACCGGUAAACUUUGAAACUACUAUUCCAAAUACUAAUGUCACAUUCACAGUUUCAAAGUUUACAGGUAAUCAAAGUACUUGAUAUCAUUCAAUAAUUCGCAAUUCAAUUCAAUAUGACAAUAAAGAUAAUUACACAUGAUUCCUCCACAGCUGUGUCAGUCAAAAUAGCUACGUAGCGUUCAUCAGACACACCGCUCAUGUAUUACGUCCAGUUAGCAUUUUCUAUCAAACAUUACAGAUAUACCAGAAAUGAAAAAUGAUUAUGCAAAAAGACAAUGCAGCCUAAGUCAAGGCAACAUAUUUAAAAGGUUUCAGCAACGGGCACAUUUUCCAAUUCACAUGAAAUAAUAGUUUAACGGGCGGACGUUUAGAAAACACGGAUUUCUGUAGCGAGGUUCAGGACGCAAAUUCUCUUUUAUUCUGCAUACUUUUGUUAUAGAUAUAGGCAUCAUACCGCUGAGUUAGUUUUUCCGUAAUCAGAAUAAUAAAUAUGAAAGUUACAUCUCUGUGUGGUCCCUUCAGAACUUCAUCUUUGGCGCGUAGGGAGCACCAGCGAAUCAGGAGGUGAGCUAUAAAUAGACAGUAUGUACACCGGCGCCAUCUGGUGGCCAAAAGCAAACAUGACAAAACACUGCUAUGUACAAACUCUUCAAUACUCCUAAUAAUAGUGUGGCCCUUUCGUGUUUUUUGUUGUAUCUUUUCAAGAAAAAAGUUGUAAUAUUACAAGAAUUACGUACGGUUUAAUCUCAGUUAGCAUCCGUCCCGGUCAGCGUGUUUUUUUUUUCAAUUUUUCAUUGGUUUGCGUGCAUUCUCCAGUUAGCAUAGCGUAGCGUGUUGUUAAUACAGUGCGUGGGUCCAGCUGUGUUCUUAAUGUAUUUUUAAGCCAAAACGUCGUUCCUUGUUGGCAUCCUAUUAGCCAGCUAAAAUGACAACCGGAACCGGCAGUUACGUUGCCCAUCCAUGAUGUCAUCAGUCGUUGACUAUCUGAAUGUUAACGCAAAACACGUUUUUAUAGUUUUAUAGUGCGUAAAACACACAUAAGACAAUUCUAUACACAUACAAAUGAGCCAUGAAAGGAAUAAAUGAACAUUUAAGGUUACGUUUACCUUCAUUGAAGAUGUGACUGUUCCCAAAGACAGGAUGUGGCAGCGAGCUCAACCGCCACCACCUUCCUGUUUUCAGUCACGUCAAGAAUCACGUCGUCAAUGAAGGUGAAAGUAAACUUAAAUGUUCAUGUAUCCCUUUCAUUCAUCAUUUAUGUAUUUAAAAUUGUUUUAAUUAUCCACUGUGCCGUGUGGAAAACAUCCCAGGUGGGAUCUCCUUGUCAUGCCAGUAAC
Molecule: long non-coding RNA, 3119 nt
Organism: Dunckerocampus dactyliophorus (ringed pipefish)
Lineage: Eukaryota; Metazoa; Chordata; Actinopteri; Syngnathiformes; Syngnathidae
Exons: 5
Source: RefSeq, a predicted model, not a curated record